CAUCAAAGAAACUUUUGUAGCAAGAUGUACCAAAGAAAGUGGUCAACAUGGACACAUACAUCACGUCGAAACCAGUUGAUCACAUGAAGCAGCAAUUGAUUAAUGUGGAUUAAACUAUGGAGAAAGGAAGUGAAGUCGAAAAGCAAGUUGACCAAACCAAGAUACUCAGGUUGACAAGGAGUAGCUGUGGGACGUUUUAGAGGAUGGAGAUGAUGGGAUGCCCUCCGCCUAGUUCUGUUAUUUAGUAGUUGAAUAAGUUGUAGUCGCUACGAGCUCUGAUAUUGUAACACUAGGGUGGGGUUGGUGAUUUAAUUUUUAAUUGUAGUUUGAGUUGAAUCUUGGAAACUUUGUUACUUUCCUAUUAUGAUGUUAAAUAACGUGAGUAAUUUUAUUAAUACAAUCAGUGAAUUGUUUUCCUCA
Molecule: long non-coding RNA, 420 nt
Organism: Medicago truncatula (barrel medic)
Lineage: Eukaryota; Viridiplantae; Streptophyta; Magnoliopsida; Fabales; Fabaceae
Exons: 2
Source: RefSeq, a predicted model, not a curated record